UGGGGGAUAUUGCACAAUGGGCGAAAGCCUGAUGCAGCGACGCCGCGUGGGGGAUGAAGGCCUUCGGGUUGUAAACUUCUUUUGCUCUGAACAAGGCGCACCAUGGGGUGUGUUGAGUGUAGGGGUUGAUUAGCGCCGGCUAACUACGUGCCAGCAGCCGCGGUAAUACGUAGGGCGCGAGCGUUGUCCGGAAUUAUUGGGCGUAAUGGGCUUGUAGGUGGCUGGUUGCGUCUGUCGUGAAAGCUCAUGGCUUAACUGUGGGUUUGCGGUGGGUACGGGCUGGCUUGGGUGCGGUAGGGGAGGCUGGAAUUCCUGGUGUAGCGGUGGAAUGCGCAGAUAUCAGGAGGAAUACCGGUGGCGAAGGCGGGUCUCUGGGCUGUUACUGACACUGAGGAGCGAAAGCAUGGGGAGCGAACAGG
RNAcentral lists this ribosomal RNA (419 nucleotides) under bacterium. RNAcentral's name for it is "partial 16S ribosomal RNA". It matches the Rfam family "Bacterial small subunit ribosomal RNA", at positions 355 to 776 of the family's 1533-position model. The record is from RNAcentral.